RNAcentral lists this long non-coding RNA (319 nucleotides) under Oryza brachyantha (malo sina). RNAcentral describes it as "long non-coding RNA (OBRA_LNC000741)". Lineage: Eukaryota; Viridiplantae; Streptophyta; Magnoliopsida; Poales; Poaceae. The record is from RNAcentral.
UCGCACAUCUCGCUUCCCGACUUGUCUCUCUUGUUUCCACCGCACCUUUUCCCUCUCGGCGGAAAACACCAGCCUCGAAUAUGCCAAGCUCACCCCACCCAGACGAUCAGGCCGUGCGCUUUCUGCCCCCGCGCCGCGCCGCGCGUGCCGCUCGUCUCGUCGGGUGUCACCGCGCCGCCCCACCCCAUCCGCGCGCCCCCGAAUCUCGCGGCGUCGCCUCGUCAUCGGCCCACAGAAAAGAAAGAAAAGGAGGAGAGCUAAUCGGCCGCCGUGCGGAGCACAGCGCGGCUCAGCGAGCGAGCGGCCGGCCGGCCCUCUC